This 469-nucleotide ribosomal RNA is filed under the name uncultured bacterium. RNAcentral's name for it is "partial 16S ribosomal RNA". It matches the Rfam family "Bacterial small subunit ribosomal RNA", at positions 28 to 507 of the family's 1533-position model. The record is from RNAcentral.
GACGAACGCUGGCGGCGUGCUUAACACAUGCAAGUCGAACGGAAAGGCCCUGCUUUUGUGGUGUGCUCGUGUGGCAAACGUGUGAAUAACACGUGUGUACCCUGCCCUUGACUUUGAUAUACCUUCAGGAAACUGGCUCUUAUCCCGUAUAGGCGCUCCUGCUUCUUGUUGUUGGAUGGAUAUUUUCGUGGGUGUGGGAUGGGCUCCCUGCCUAUCAGCUUGUUGGUGGGGUAAUGGCCUACCAAGGCGUUGACGGGUAGCCGGCCUGGGGGGGCGGACGGCCAAAUUUGGAAUGGGAGACGGCCCAGAAUCCUAAGGGGGGGAGGAGGGGGGAAUAUUGCACAAUGGGGGGAAAGCUGAUGCAGCGACGCCGCGUGGGGGAUGACGGGCUUCGGGUUGGAAACUCGUUUCGGUUGGGAAGAAGCCGUUUGUGACGGUAACUAGAAAAGAAGCACCGGCUAACUACGUG